GAGCCGGAUUCGGCGGGUGCCUGCGCCUCAUCUCCGCCUUGCGCUGGGGCUGGUAGCUGUUUACAGGACAAGAGUCCUGUUUAUCGGAUUGUUGGGAAGAUUAAAAUGGUUAAUGGAACUAAAGAAUUUAGAGAAGGCCUUGACACAGAGUGCCGUAUAAGUAUUAGCUAUUAUUUUUCUUAUUAAUCCUCAAUGACCCUUGCAAAGAAGCUUUUAUCAUCUCUAUUUGUCAGAUAAGGAAACUGAGGCUCAGAAGCGUAGGAAUGCUUUCCCAGGAUCCCACAACAAGGAAGGAAUAAAAUCAGGUGUACAGAGAAAGAAGGUGCUGGCACAGGAAGAUAGCAAGAGCUAGGACCUCGGAUGAUGUGGUUGGGCUGCUGAAGGAAUCCCGGGGCUGUCUACCUACAGGUUUCUUAAGAUUUCGUAAGACGUGAGAUAAGUGUCUUUAUUGCUGAAGCUGCUCUUGAAGGGAGAGACAGAGCAUGAACAGGGGAGGGUCAGAGAGAGGGAGACACA
This is a long non-coding RNA of Herpailurus yagouaroundi (jaguarundi), 516 nucleotides long. RefSeq lists it as uncharacterized. The record is from RefSeq and is a predicted model, not a curated record. Lineage: Eukaryota; Metazoa; Chordata; Mammalia; Carnivora; Felidae. The transcript is spliced from 3 exons.